GCUCGGCUGGUCUAGAGGUAUGAUACCUGCUUUGGGUGCAGGUGGUCCCCAGUUCGAUCCUGGGGUCGGGCC
RNAcentral lists this transfer RNA (72 nucleotides) under Pestalotiopsis fici W106-1. Its description in RNAcentral is "tRNA-Pro (TGG) (tRNA-Pro-TGG-2-1)". It matches the Rfam family "tRNA". Rfam says of the family: Transfer RNA (tRNA) molecules are approximately 80 nucleotides in length. Their secondary structure includes four short double-helical elements and three loops (D, anti-codon, and T loops). The record is from RNAcentral. Lineage: Eukaryota; Fungi; Ascomycota; Sordariomycetes; Amphisphaeriales; Sporocadaceae.